CCAACGGGUGAAGCCGGGCACUCUGGCGGGACUGCCAUCGACAAGAUGGAGGAAGGUGGGGAUGACGUCAAGUCAUCAUGGCCCUUAUGUCCAGGGCGACACACGUGCUACAAUGGCCGGCACAGCGGGAAGCGAGGCAGUGAUGCCGAGCGGAUCCCUUAAAGCCGGUCUCAGUUCGGAUUGAAGUCUGCAACUCGACUUCAUGAAGCUGGAAUCGCUAGUAAUCGCAGAUCAGCCAAGCUGCGGUGAAUACGUUCCCGGGCCUU
Molecule: ribosomal RNA, 266 nt
Filed under: uncultured Synergistaceae bacterium
Lineage: Bacteria; Thermotogati; Synergistota; Synergistia; Synergistales; Synergistaceae
Also listed under: 1 other name
Description: partial 16S ribosomal RNA
Rfam family: Bacterial small subunit ribosomal RNA
Source: RNAcentral